Branchiostoma floridae (Florida lancelet) is the source of this 6980-nucleotide long non-coding RNA. RefSeq lists it as uncharacterized. Lineage: Eukaryota; Metazoa; Chordata; Leptocardii; Amphioxiformes; Branchiostomatidae. The transcript has 2 exons. The record is from RefSeq and is a predicted model, not a curated record.
CAAGAUUUUCUUUUUCAUGCGAUAUGAAAAAAAAUCUUGACACAAACUCUCUCCUACAACCGUGUAAUUUAAGGUUGAAGUUCAAACGCGAAUAGAAAUACCAGGCUGAAACGCUGACAUUCUUCUUUUUCUUCGUUCCUGUUUUGGAGUACAUUCCAAAGAAAGACCAACAUUGUCCGAUCCGCUAACUUUAAACAUGCCAGGCAUAUUUCGGAGUCCUGGCCAAAACGCGGAGUACAGACGACUCACAUAGUUCCAGACUCAAAAGACGAAAAUUCCCGUCUCCUGCCGUGCAUGUUAAAGAGGGCGGCCGCGACUUCCGCAACGUCAAAACACAAAGGUGUAUUCAAGGGGGUGGCAUUGGGUUUCCGUCGCCAUGGCAACCGCUAUGGCGUCACCCAUGCGCGGGAAAAGGUACCUGUCAGAGCGGCCAUGUUGCACAAUGGCGGCGGGGCGACGAUUUUUAAUCUCAUGAAUGUGUCGCGGGUUUGACGACUUGUUUUUGUUUUUUGGCGUACAUUUAGCAAACAAAGUUUGUUUACUUGCUGUGUGAAAGUGAACUUUCACCUCUCGUUUCCGCCCCUCCCACCCCGCUCGCUCAUUGGACCGGACGUAAUUCGUCCCUUUGUCGUCUUUUUGAUUUGUCCUCUACUGUGUCAAGGGUUCGAGGGGACCGACUCAAACUUACAGUUCACACCGCACUUGAAGAUAUCAAACUAAACUCAUAUCCCUUAGAGUUACAUAAUACUUUUGAGAACGUCCCAACAACGUCAACAGCAUACACACGAGCUACAUUUCUGAAGUAUUUAAUACUUUCGUCGAAUUUAGUGGUUUAAAACUCCAUGUUCUACAGACAAAAGUUGAAGUUUUGAGCCGGUGCCGGCCCGUUCGCGGGACAGGUAACUCAGUGUUGUGUACUUUAGCACACUGCGCCGCGCUGUGGAGUCUCUCGGUGAAGUCUUUUGAUCUCAGCUCCCUACCUGGUAAUCAUCCUGUCUUACAUACACCUGAAGACGAUCACUCUCCUUGUCGUGACGUCUCUCAGUGUCUUAAGACGGAGAGGAAACCUUAAGAAGACUGUGAGAAGACGCGGGUGGAGGGUUACGUACUACAGGACCCAACAUGCCUGCUGUGUGAAGAGUUGCUGUGUGUGUGCUUUUCUUGUGUGAGGCGAGACACCGCUAACGUACUACCACAGACCAACCGGACCGGUUCUCCGGGAUCAGACCUUAAGUGGUGCGCUGUUGUUGCCAACGUUGUGUCGGGCGUUUUCCCACGGUGUUCGGAGCCCAGGUGGGAUUAGAACCAUGGAUCACCGCGCCAGAAAAUGGUGGAACAGACUGCUCGGGAGAAAAUCGCGAGGCGACUCGAAAGAUCGGAAGGAUUCGCGUGGAAGCGGGGCAGGUCCGUACAAGGAGGACUCAGACGCGGAGAACAGAAAACCCGACGAGCUGCCAAACGGGAGAAAAAGCGGCAGCCAGACGUCCAAGAGCGCGCAGGUUCGCUCCAAGUGCAACCCGAAGCUCGCAGAGAGUUCUAACAGCGAACUGUCCAAGUCUCAGCAGUCCGGUCCAUGGAGACACCACCUCAGCGUGUCCCACUCCGGACGAUUUAAGGAGAAAAGAAAACAGCGAGGAACUGUCUCUGAUCGGCCCGAACUCUACAACGGACCGCCCAAACCUCUAGAGACGGACCUAUGAGGAUUGUACAUAACAGCAGAGGACAAAUUUGUUUCCAUUCUGUAUACAUGUAAUGUAAAUAAGGACUCAAGUGAUUGCAUUUGUUAUAAUGUGUGCUUGUGUGAGAGAGAAAAUGGAGACCACUGACGACAACUUUCCACGUCGUCGCCUGCCAAGAAACAAUUCCAAUAUCUUCUUGAUCAAAAGAAGUUUGUACAGACGAAUUGUUAGGAUGAAUUCUGUGACAAAAAUGCAACGUCGACAACUGCUUAUAAAAUCAAGAUAUCUAAAUGCUUAUAAAUUAGACAUGAUUGUACAUCGCCUAAGGCAACAACGAACUGAACAAGAAACCACGAAACUUCUUAAGGCUUAAGACCACUCUUGUCUUCAUGGACUAAAGACGCACCCCGCAAAAAAUACAACAAGGACGGUUUAUACAAUCCCUUUGUUUCCAUUCAUGUCAGCUAAGGAAAUUUCUGAGCUUGUUUAAAGUUCGGCCGCCAUCUUGAAUUGGAUGUCCCCCUUUGUCGGUCGGCUCUUUUAUGGACUUUUUAAAGCGACUUUAAUGCAAAUGGAACCCGCCCUUCAAUCUGGCUACAGCAGGGACAAGCUUUGUUGUCAAUAAUUCAAGAAACAUUUUUGGAAAUCUACUACGACUAGAAAUAUUGUUGCUGUUUAAUUAUGUGCGUCUUAAGUCAUACUCGAAACUUAAGAGUUUCAAGAGCAGGUCUCAACUACUUGAAAACCCACCAAACUGAAUGUCUAAGACGCUUCCAAGACGGCGCAACAACCUUGGAAUUUACGGACUCCUUAGCCGACGUCUUACGUGACACUUGCAUCAUACAGCCUGUUCUUGUCGACCGUAAGCCUCCAUGGAUACGUCUAUAAGAUUGGGCGACACAAGAUAAUCGUCUUUGAACAGCGAGUCAUAACUUAAGGAACACCAAAGGAAACAUGACAUUGGAACCCAUGUCUUACUUAGUCAAUGUCUUCGACAAGACACCUUCCUCAAACUUACAUCACAAACAUCUUCAAGAUUAGGAGAGCACAUCGUCUUUAAAACCUACACGGAAGGUAAACAAUCCUUAAACACAACCGUGCCUAAGAGCACGACUGACUGAGACUACACUAAAGAACAGAGGAGAGGACACAUCGAGACUACAAUGAACAGUGAGAAAAUGGAACACUAGAAAUGCCAGACAUCGCCCGCAAACCCGUCCCUAGCCACAGCGCUGACACGGUAGGACGGACAUGUUAUUUAUGUGUUUAUGGUCAGACUAUUUGCCAAGCACUAUCUGUUGCUGAGGUCGGCAUCCGAGCUAGAUCUAAAACAACACAACAUUGCGGCCGACAUUUGAGCUUAUCUGUAUGUACUCUGAUUCAAUAUUGUGCAUAGUACGUUGAGGGCACAAACUGUAGGAAACUUUAGAGAGUUAGUGGAUUAUUUUGUGGAGGGCCCAUUUAAAGUAAAACUUAAACUAUUUGCCAACCACUAUCUGUUUCUGUUUUUUGAGGUUGGCUCCAAAAGAACACAAUAUUGUGGUCAACAUUCGAGAUACCUGUAUCAGUGCAUGUUCCAAUAUUGUGCAUAGCACUCUGUAGGCAUAAACUGUAAUAAACCUUAGAAAGUUAGUAGAUUAUUUUGUAUGGGGUCCUUUUAAAGUACCCGCAUGCAACCCUAGUACUCACACACCUGUAUGUGAGAACAGUACCUCUACCCGUACCUCCUUACUCUUACAUCCGGUUCAAAACACUCAAAAACGCAGCCAUGUUUACAACUCAAUUUUUCCAAAUAACCCGCAGCAAAAAAAAUCAGCGAUUUAAACAAGACCGAUCGGUUUGUUUUGGGCGCUAAUUAUGCCCCGAUUUGCUGAUUAGAUAAGGAAAAACGACGGCGGUGUCUCGGGAAGAGGUAUUAGGAGUAAACCGAGAGGUCUGGGCGGUGGGAACGCUGGAGGGUUGAUUGUUGUUAGCUAGUCAGCCGUGGUGGGGCAACCUUGUCGCACAAAGGUACCUUUCAUACAGUAGAAACAACAGGGCGUGUGAGAUGGAGACAACGGGGACACUCUCUCUGUCUUUAGUAAUCUCGUACACGUCUUAAGUAUCCACCAGACUUCUUUAAUGUCUUAAGUCUCCUCUAGGUCUCCUUCAGUGGCCAAUUAAUAAGUAGAAAUUGCCCCAAUAGGUUGAAUGAUUCAUACAGCAAAAACAACAGGGCGUGUGGGACGGAGACAACUGGUCUCUCUGUCUGCCUUCGGUAAUCUCUUACACGUCUUAAAGUAAGUGUCCACCAGACGUCUUUAACGUCUUAGGACUCCCCUAGACCCUCUUGAGUUGCCAAAUAAUAAGUAGAAAUUGCCCAAAUAGGCUGAAUGAUUUGCAAGAGGAGUUGGUUGGCCCAGGAUUGUUCCCUAAGACCUGUUGAUUACUUUGGCAAAUUAGAUAUUUGCCUCAUCAGGCCAAUUUCUGUUAUUUUAAGCCACUUAGAGAACCAACGCAUUCUGGAGCUUAACACAAAAAUGGUCAGCAUGUCUUAAAUUCACAAACUCAAACUUAAAAUGUCUAGUUGUCAAAUCAUUUUAUCCUAUUGGCCCUAAAACGGCUACUUCAGAAUGUUUCCAAAUUAUAAAUGUAUACGUCAUAUGUUCGCAUUUAUUUGGGGUUGACACAGCAAAAAAGGAUACUCAGUUGAAACUACAAUACUACAAAAAUAAGUCAUUGUUUACAAACGUGUGUGUAAAGAUAUCCUUAGAUUUACAACUCAAAGGGAUCUCAAAUUUGCGUGUGAUACGGAUAAUAUGAACAGACUCUUUACAAUUAAAGUGUGGUGGCCAAUACGUCAUACGUUUGUAUUAGAUGGGGUUGACACAGCAAAAAAGGAUUCGUAAACAAGAAUAAAGUAUUGUCUAUCCUCCAAUUUUCACGCUGAAAGAACUCUCAAAAUUCCGUGUGACACAGAUGAUAUAUAUAUGAAAAGUCUCUUUACAAUUAAAGAUUCUUACGUCAUGUUCCUUUGUGAGAAAGCAACCACUAAGAAACGUUUCCUUUAUCAGAAAGACUUUUCGUCAACCACUAAGAAAACAACACGCCAUUUUCAGCCAGCCCGACUGUUUUGGGUCAGGCCUGUCCAGUCUUACCGCCCUUAUUAUUUAGAUUUAUGUCCUUCAGACAACACGCCGUUUACAGAGCCGAUUUUACAAUGGCUGGAGAGGAUCUAGAACCCACGGAUUACCCCAAAUACCUCUUCUUUAGAACCGCCGAUAUUGGAGGGUUUUAGGGGGAAAAUUACCGACCAGCUCUGGCUAUUAUGGUGGAAACAUUUGUGUAAUGACUGGAUUGUAGUUGGGGCAAUAAGGCUGCUCUGUUAUCACGUUAUGACCUAUACUUGUUGAAACACGCCCCCCUCCCCCCAACAACCACCUGUUAACUGUCCGCCAUGAUGGAUUUCAAGGUCGCCUUUAUGACCUCCAAAGUUGCUCAAAACGCCGUUAUUUCUGCUCGGAAACAAAAUAUUUAGAACAUAUGUUUUAUUGAUUGUUCAUUGUUUAAGCCUAGUAUUGUUCUUCGAUCCAGGUGCUACAAAAAUCUCAAAUUGAAGGAAACAAGAGAAUGAGCUGUAAUAGUAAAGACUGAUCGAGAACAAACACUACAAAUUCUAUCACACACGCUCUGUAUACUGCAUAAUAAUUCUUGCCUAAAAUCAUGUUAACUAAAGAAAAGAAGAAAUGUAAACUGAAAAGCAAAUGAAAAACAAACCAUAUAAAAACGUUUAUGUCAGACAUGUUUGACCCCUGACCCAAAAUGGCGGCGCCAGAAGCCUUAACAAUGCGCCAUUCAUGUCUGGCCGUGGACGUGAACAAACUCCCUUUCAUACACAUUCCACCGCCACUGGCUGGAAUUUACAGCAAAAUCGUCUGAGAAUAGUCAACAUUAUGCGGGAAUUUCACCCAUUUCCGUGCUCUUCAAUGUAUCCUUGUUCUGGCCUAGAAAUAUAGGACCAAAGCAGAAAGCAUUUUUUUUUUGAGAACUGAAAACUUCUUAAAGCAUCUAGGAAACAAAAAAGGCACACUGAUAGAAGUCCUUAUUAAUUUCCAGAUUAUGCUAGAUUUUGGCUCAGUUUUUAUUGAAUGUGUCACUGAUCCUGAAUUAUCAUCAUGACCACAGUGGGUACAAUUGUUCCUUAUUUCCGUUUAUGUUUCUAUGACUGAAAUUGCAUUUUUUUGGGUUUAAUUUAUGUCGGAAACAAAGAAGAACUAGGGGCUAAAUGAAGUUUUUAUUUCUAUGUUAGGCAAUAAUUUUUGCCAAUUUGAUGAAUUAAAGACUAGUGAGUUGGAAAACUUCUAACGUCCAAUAAAAAAAGGCAAACAGAAAAAAUACUAUUGUUGACGUCAGUAAUAUGAGAUGAUUAUCAGUGCCAAGCUCAUUACAUUGUUUAUAUCGGCAGAGAUGUAAAUGUGGAAAGAUUCGGUUGUUAAUUGGUUAAUGAUUUGAAUCUAUGUCUUUGUUUCUCGCAAAAUCAUGAAAUAUGUGGUAAUGCAAAACGUACUGCGCCUUGUAACAAUAUGUAUUGAUGUACCACCAUCUGUGUGCUCACAACUGGUGAGAGCUAAUUGCAAGUCAGACAUUUUGUGAAUUUUCUAUGCAUAUGGUAAAAUGUAACACUUGUUCACUUUCUUCCGCCUAGUGACCCAUAUCCGUUGUUGUUUUUAAAAGGGUACUUAGGGUAUUAAGUUGACGAACGGCGGUCUCAAGUUGCAAUAUUUUCAAAAUAUUGCAGUUUUAAACCACCGUCCGCCGACCAUACAAUACCCUGUUCUUAAAAACAAUGGAAAACCCGUGAAAAAAGUAAACAAGCGUUACAUAUCGAGUCACAAGAGAGAGAAAAUAGGAAUAUAGAUCAAGUGUCACAAAAGUUGAACUCGGUAAAUAAGAACCUUUGAGACCAUAGGAAUCUGUACCAUGGUCAUGAUCCAUGAUCUAAGGUAUGAUCUAUUCUCACGUUGUUGACCAACAUUCUUGUGCUUGUUAAUGUUUUUAAGAUACCGAAACUAUUUGUCUUCAAAUGUUGGUUUCAAGAAACCCUUGUCUGAUUGUAAGCUGAAGAUAUCAUGUCAUAAGUUUGUAUAUGUUAAUAAGCGUUCUGUACUUUGAGAGCUACGCAGAACUAUGGAUUGUAUAUAUGAUUCUUAAUGUUGUUGAUUUUAGCGACUGUUCAAAUUGUUGUUUAUAUAGAAGCUUUUUUUUGUACAAAUUUGAUCAAAUAAAAUAGAUUUUAUCGAUGCCCCGAGGGGCGAUUUUCAA